AGUCCUGAAUCUGCAGGAUAUUGUGAGACAUCAAAGCAGUGCCAUAUUUAAGGAUGGUUUCAGGUUCUCAAGAUGACAGUAGAAACAUGACACUUCACCUGGAUAUUAUCUCAAGACUGAAAAAGUAGAAGGCAGAGUAUCCCAGCCAGCACCUGCAGGGCCCUUGCACUGAAAACCAGCAGUGGAAACAAGCUGGGAGGGCAUCUGGAAGCUCUCAUUCUUCAGAUUUGAACUCCACCCAUUGUACCAGUCACCCCCAAAAGAAUCAGCAUGUCUCCUGGCAAAUGUAUAAAACCAGAACAAGUCAGGACACUAUCACAUAGUGUGCUAUACAUCACCAGGUGCUCAACUUUAUCAAAGGAGAGGACUUCAACAGGUGUCAGAAGCCACAAUGUCAGGUAGAAGCUUCCAGGGACUGAAGGAACAAGCUGAAGGUGCAGCAAAAGAUGCUGCAAACACACUGGGCCAGGCCACUCAGGAUGCAGUCAACCAGAUUACAGAUGCAAGCCAGAAAGGUAGGAGCAAUGACGUUCAAAGCAAGAUGGAGCAGCUCAACACAAGCCAGAAGCGGCCCGUGCUCAUUCUCUUCUGUCCCACAGGUGUUCUCAGCCUGAAAGUCCUUGGUUUCAGUGACCACUUUGUAUAACCUUUAACAUUUUGUAAGAACUUUAACAAUUUUAUAACAACUUGUAUAAAUCUCACAAAAGGAUUGCAGGAUCUGUUGCUCAGUAGCUCCACACGUGCUGGCAGACUGUAACUGACACUCCCUGGCCACCGAGUCUUACGCACAGCAUUCAGACAUUGGCUUCCUAUUUAGAAAACUUGUGGGGCAGCUCUUCUUUUAGAGGAUUAAGUAACUCUAUGUUACAUCUUGCUCCCCCCACCCCAGCCCUGAGGGCAGGGGUCUGUCCAGGUGCAGCUCUACACUGGAUCCCAGCAGCUGCAGGGUCAGCAGCUGGGGUCG
This 964-nucleotide long non-coding RNA is filed under the name Lonchura striata (white-rumped munia). RNAcentral describes it as "domestica (Bengalese finch) lncRNA (ENSLSDG00000008658.1)". Lineage: Eukaryota; Metazoa; Chordata; Aves; Passeriformes; Estrildidae. The record is from RNAcentral.